This 465-nucleotide ribosomal RNA is filed under the name Vreelandella stevensii. RNAcentral's name for it is "partial 16S ribosomal RNA". It matches the Rfam family "Bacterial small subunit ribosomal RNA", at positions 338 to 795 of the family's 1533-position model. Lineage: Bacteria; Pseudomonadati; Pseudomonadota; Gammaproteobacteria; Oceanospirillales; Halomonadaceae. The record is from RNAcentral.
CCUACGGGGGGCAGCAGUGGGGAAUAUUGGACAAUGGGGGCAACCCUGAUCCAGCCAUGCCGCGUGUGUGAAGAAGGCCCUCGGGUUGUAAAGCACUUUCAGUGAGGAAGAACGCCUGGUGGUUAAUACCCAUCAGGAAAGACAUCACUCACAGAAGAAGCACCGGCUAACUCCGUGCCAGCAGCCGCGGUAAUACGGAGGGUGCGAGCGUUAAUCGGAAUUACUGGGCGUAAAGCGCGCGUAGGUGGCUUGAUAAGCCGGUUGUGAAAGCCCCGGGCUCAACCUGGGAACGGCAUCCGGAACUGUCAAGCUAGAGUGCAGGAGAGGAAGGUAGAAUUCCCGGUGUAGCGGUGAAAUGCGUAGAGGUCGGGAGGAAUACCAGUGGCGAAGGCGGCCUUCUGGACUGACACUGACACUGAGGUGCGAAAGCGUGGGUAGCAAACAGGAUUAGAUACCCCGGUAGUC